Molecule: ribosomal RNA, 809 nt
Filed under: Candidatus Phytoplasma solani
Lineage: Bacteria; Bacillati; Mycoplasmatota; Mollicutes; Acholeplasmatales; Acholeplasmataceae
Description: bacterial SSU rRNA
Rfam family: Bacterial small subunit ribosomal RNA
Source: RNAcentral
GUGAUGGCUAUAAAAAAACUGUUUUAGCUUAGAGUUUGGAUAAGAGGAAAGGUGGAAUUUCGGUGUGGAGGUGGUAAAAAUGGGUAAAAUAUACGGGAGGAACACCAGAAAGCGAAGGCGGGCUUGCUGGGUCUUAACUGACGCUGAGGCACGAAAGCGUGGGGAGCAAACAGGAUUAGAUACCCUGGUAGUCCACGCCCUAAACGAUGAGUACUAAACGUUGGAUAAAACCAGUGUUGAAGUUAACACAUUAAGUACUCCGCCUGAGUAGUACGUACGCAAGUAUGAAACUUAAAGGAAUUGACGGGACUCCGCACAAGCGGUGGAUCAUGUUGUUUAAUUCGAAGGUACCCGAAAAACCUCACCAGGUCUUGACAUGCUUUUGCAAAGCUGUAGAAAUACAGUGGAGGUUAUCAGAAGCACAGGUGGUGCAUGGUUGUCGUCAGCUCGUGUCGUGAGAUGUUGGGUUAAGUCCCGCAACGAGCGCAACCCUUGUUGUUAAUUGCCAUCAUUAAGUUGGGGACUUUAGCAAGACUGCCAAUGAUAAAUUGGAGGAAGGUGGGGACGACGUCAAAUCAUCAUGCCCCUUAUGACCUGGGCUACAAACGUGAUACAAUGGCUGUUACAAAGGGUAGCUAAAGCGUAAGCUUCUGGCGAAUCUCAAAAAAGCAGUCUCAGUUCGGAUUGAAGUCUGCAACUCGACUUCAUGAAGUUGGAAUCGCUAGUAAUCGCGAAUCAGCAUGUCGCGGUGAAUACGUUCUCGGGGUUUGUACACACCGCCCGCAACACCCCGAACGCUCCUUCUUGUU